This 72-nucleotide transfer RNA is filed under the name Ornithorhynchus anatinus (platypus). It matches the Rfam family "tRNA". From Rfam's summary of the family: Transfer RNA (tRNA) molecules are approximately 80 nucleotides in length. Lineage: Eukaryota; Metazoa; Chordata; Mammalia; Monotremata; Ornithorhynchidae. The record is from Rfam by way of RNAcentral.
AGCAGCAUAGCUCAGUGGAAAGAGCACAGGCUUGGGAGUCAGAGGUCAUGGGUUCGAAUCCCAACUCUGCCA